CAGUGUAAACAAGGCCAAAGAUCAGCAGGCCAAGAAUUCUGUUGUUUAAAGUACCAUCAGUCAUCUUUGGCAAACUGCAAUAGUAUGUUAAACUUUCUUUUUUUCUGGCAGGAAAAAUUUAAGAAGCUCCAAGGCAGAAAUGGAAUUGAAGGUACAAGCAGAGUUUCCAAAAUCUCAGGCAAAUGCCCCACUCUACCUUAUGACAACCCGGCCUUCAAAGAAGACAGCCUGCUUCUCAAUACUUGGCUGUUGUGCUGCAGGCCUGCUGUGAAUUUCUCAGAGGCAUCUGACCAGCCUCUGUGGAUACAGAAUAUUGAACUAGAAUGGGUUGUGGUCAGAUGUAGCAAAGACAUUUUCUGUGAGAAUUAAAAAAAAAAAACCCUA
Molecule: long non-coding RNA, 384 nt
Organism: Pantherophis guttatus
Lineage: Eukaryota; Metazoa; Chordata; Lepidosauria; Squamata; Colubridae
Source: RefSeq, a predicted model, not a curated record